AACGUAGGAGACAAACGUUAUCCGGAGUUACUGGGCGUAAAGGGCGUGUAGGUGGUAAUGUAAGUCUGGCGUGAAAUUUUUCGGCUUAACCGGGAAAGGUCGUCGGAUACUGCAUGACUAGAGGACGGUAGAGGCGUGUGGAAUUCCGGGUGUAGUGGUGAAAUGCGUAGAGAUCCGGAGGAACACCAGUGGCGAAGGCGGCUCUC
RNAcentral lists this ribosomal RNA (206 nucleotides) under uncultured bacterium. Its description in RNAcentral is "partial 16S ribosomal RNA". It matches the Rfam family "Bacterial small subunit ribosomal RNA", at positions 524 to 729 of the family's 1533-position model. The record is from RNAcentral.